Molecule: long non-coding RNA, 5820 nt
Filed under: Brassica napus (rape)
Lineage: Eukaryota; Viridiplantae; Streptophyta; Magnoliopsida; Brassicales; Brassicaceae
Description: long non-coding RNA (BNAP_LNC025309)
Source: RNAcentral
GACCGUACUCAUCAACCGUUACAUUAUAAAGACCACACCGACACUCGGUGCAUCCUUGUUUAUCCACAACCCCUCUAGUGUCAAUAGCGUGAAUAUUUAGAAGCCAUUUGAACUCAUACCCAUCAGGUACUUUCUCCGGGUUACCGAUCUCGAUCGCGUAAGGAUCAGGAACAUACGUCGAAGUCUUGCGUGUUUCUGAUCCUAACCCAAAGUAUUGUCUAACUCUGUUCCUACACAACCCUCCGUUACUAACGAGAAUAUAAUCAGGGCUCGAACCAAGGUUCCUAGGCGUGUCUAGGUGCGAAAGGUUGAGACCUUUACGCACGUAGUAAGGGUGCACAACCCAGUGGUGGAGAUAUGUCUCGUGUAACGGGACGGGGUUACCGUCUUGGUCGACUACUUCGGCGUCGAAACCUUUGAGGCCGAUGUGGCCUCUAGGGAAAUCGAUGUCGAACAGGUAAGGGUCUGCGACUGAUCCUGGAGUCAUGACUUGUUUUGGUGAUAGGAAACUUGCGGACUUGAUGUUAAUGCUGUGGCUAGGCGAUAUGCUUAACGCGACCAGAAGAAGAAGUAAGGACGAGAUGAUCAGGUAACAACGAGCCAUUUUGUCCUGUUUCGAUAUCGUUAUAGAGAGGUAAUAAAUGAAGUAAAACUGAUAAAAUACGUAAUCAUGAACCGGUUUGACCUAAACCGAGAUCUGUUACCGGCAGUUUACCUGCAAGAAGCUCUCCGGUCCAGGCAGCUGCUGAGAAACGAGGAUGUAAAAGAGUCCCAUGACUCCUGUAUGACCAAUGACAUUACUGUAAUUGAACUCCAAAGACAGUGUCUCUCCAUUAGUCACUUUCACCGGUUCAGGAUAACAAGACGACAUUCCAACGAUGUAACCAGCUUCGCUUCCAGGCUCAUCUCCAUUGCCAUACUUCGGCAUCGAGGAGCAUAUUACCUCACCGUCCUGAUCAAAAUCCAUAACACAAGAGUCUCAGUUUUUGAGUAAAAAGUUUUUGCCUUAGCUUAAAACCUUAGGUUGGGUGUUUAUACCCAAACCCGAAAUCCGAACUGAGACCAAACCAAAAUUCUAUCUAAACCAUCAUAAAAAAUAUCCAAAUAGAGUCUAAGAAUACUUUCGGACUCGGGUACAAUCCAAACCAAACUAAAAUCCGUACUAGAAUCCAAAAAAUCCACAUUAGUUAAUCUGUUAAUGUUUUUUUCUACAUAUGUUACGUUAAGAUAGUUUAGAAAUUUUUAAAAAAAUUAGAAUUUUUUGUAGUUUUUAUAGGAAUUGCGAAUCGUUAUUUUGGAAUACUUUUAAUUAGUUUAGGUAGCUUGACAAGUUUUUAAUCAGAUUUUUGAUUUUUUUGUAUAUUUUAAAUAUGUUUUUGUCAAUUUCAUUAAUUUUAUUUCCAGAUUUAAGUACGAUUUUUAGACAAUGGUUAUAAUUUGAUUUGAAUCAAACACAUACGAAAUCGAAUCAAACCCGAUCCAAAAACUAGUAAAAUAUGAAUAAGACCAUUGUGCAUGAUACCGAAAAUCCAAAACAAACCCCUAACAAGACACCAAACGUCCGGGCCUGUUAAAAACUAACCUCUCGGUACAGAGCUGCACCGAUACCACCUGCGUGCUGGUGAGCUACUCCAUAGACAAUAUACCCGUUAAACGGCAUCAUUAAGCUCUUUUUCUUAACAUCAACACACCCAUCACCCUUAGUUUUGCACGGUUUCACGUCAUAUUCCACCUGAAAAGAAAGCAAUUAAUACACCUUAGCUAACGUUUUUAAGUAAUAAAAGCAUUAAUAAGCAGAGAUGUGAAAAGUCUUUACUGACAUGACAAAAAUGUUCUUGGUUAUCUCCUGUUGAUCCUUCUGACCGUUCCCAAGAAUCCGUUACAUCGAGAAUAUAAACCUUAGCCGGCAACAAAACCGAGCUGUCCCAAUCAACCCAUCUCACAGUAUACUUAAGAUACACAGUUCUUGUUUUGUUUCCACUUUCGAAUCCGUUUCUUAACCGACAUUGAGUACUAUUAUAAGCUUUAGUUUGUUAACACUAUUAUACAAGAUUUGUAACAAACUUUAAGAUCAUUAAUGAAUAAAUCAACAUUCUUCUUUGAAUCAAGAACACUUCAAUAACUCCACUCUAAAUCAUCAUAAUCCAAUCAGAUCAGAACCAUAUACUAACCACAAACGCGUUUCAGAGAGUUUAGCGAUAUACAAUACCUUCGUAAUCACCAUUCUUCGAAACGAUCCAGCGACCAUCAAACGCCUCAUCGAACGAUUCAUACAACACCUGAACACAAAUCCAACGAGCUCAGAUCUAAAAAAUCUUCAGAUCUACGAUAACAUUCGGAAACAUUUUCCCGAGAAAAAUCGAAAUCUACCGUAUUAUCGUCGCAGUGGCAAAGGUUCUGGAGCGAGAGGAGAGCUAGGAUAAGCAUAAGGCCGGAGAAUAGCUGCCGGUCUCUCAUCAUCGGAACGGUUCGAGUAGAUCGGAGGGAGAAGAGAGAGAGAGAGAGAGAGAGUGGAAUCUAUUUUUUUUUUUUCCUGAAGAUUUUAGUUUCUCUGAGUGAUUUAUAUAUUUAAAUCCCGUAGACUCGGUCGAGUGUGUCGAUUUUUGUUGUUUCCACCAAUGAGAUCGCUCGCCACGUGGUGAGAGCCAAUAGAUGGACGCCACGUCAUGCGAAAGAGAGGUAUCCUACGUGCGCAAUUUGUAUUGCUACGUAAUGUGCAUGUUUAUUAUACAGAUAGUCUAACGUCAGUAUUGGGCUGGGCCUGUAAUCAAUUUAAAAGUCUCUGGUAGAGUAAGAGUCUUCUAGAAGCAAAAGUAACACAUUUAUCAGGAACAAAGAACCAAAUCAAACUAAACUAAAAAAAAUGAGGUUUGGUUCGGAUUUAGAUCAUAUAAUACACGAAUGAACGGAUCCUAUAACUUUUGAACUGAAAAACCAAAACCAAACUGGAGCAAACAAAGACCCGAAUGGAUACCCGAAUUUUUAUAAUAUAAUAUAUACACUUAUAAAUAUUAACUACAUUUAGUUUCAAAAUGAUAAAAUAAUUUGAAAUACUAUUUCUAAAAACUAAAUCUCCAAAUACAUUUUAUCCGAAAUAUUUUAAAUUAUUUGAACUAUCCAAAUUUUACCUAAAUUAUUGGAUAAAAAUCUAACAUUUAGUAAAAAAAAGACUGAAUUUACUUACUUUUUUUUGAAACACAUCUGAAUUUUCUUACUUUUAACAAAACUUAACAAAAAAACUAAAAUCGAACGGCUAACGAAUAUGAUCCAAAAAUGACCUCGGAUAUUAUUCGGUUUUUAAUUUUGUUAUCUAAACUAAACUGAAAAAUGAAAUAACCGAAUCAGAACCAAAGUGAAUCCUAAACAUCUAAAACUGAAAAGCAGAAAAAAUCGAAAGAACCGAACCGGAACCGAAUCCAAAAUUCUUUAGCGGAGCAAGAGUCUCUAUUGGGCUGGGCCUACUAAUCAAUUUGAAAGUCUCUAGCUGAGCAAGAGUCUUCCACAUACCAUUGACAAAAGCAAACUUUUUACACACGUAAGUCGUAAUAACCAUUACAGAAAUGUCACACACUAGUGGAAGAGUACAAGAUACUUUGUUAUUUUAAUAUUUGGUAUUAGAAAAAGUGGAAAACUAUAAAAUGUUGAAGAUGAAUAUCUAUAGUUUUACUGUUUAGGUACUAAGUGAUUGGUAACCAUCUUCCCGGUUCUUUCUCCGGUAUACCACGGCGACUAUUAGAACCACAACCGCCACCGUCACUGCAAGAAAGGCUAAAAAGCUCAUACUGCUCGAAUGUGCCUGCAAAGAAAUAAUGAAUACUGACGUUAAGUAAAGUAACACACAUGGUAAUAACCGGUUUGACCUAAACCGAGAUCUGUUACCGGCAGUUUACCUGCAAGAAGCUCUCCGGUCCAGGCAGCUGCUGAGAAACGAGGAUGUAAAAGAGUCCCAUGACUCCUGUAUGACCAAUGACAUUACUGUAAUUGAACUCCAAAGACAGUGUCUCUCCAUUAGUCACUUUCACCGGUUCAGGAUAACAAGACGACAUUCCAACGAUGUAACCAGCUUCGCUUCCAGGCUCAUCUCCAUUGCCAUACUUCGGCAUCGAGGAGCAUAUUACCUCACCGUCCUGAUCAAAAUCCAUAACACAAGAGUCUCAGUUUUUGAGUAAAAAGUUUUUGCCUUAGCUUAAAACCUUAGGUUGGGUGUUUAUACCCAAACCCGAAAUCCGAACUGAGACCAAACCAAAAUUCUAUCUAAACCAUCAUAAAAAAUAUCCAAAUAGAGUCUAAGAAUACUUUCGGACUCGGGUACAAUCCAAACCAAACUAAAAUCCGUACUAGAAUCCAAAAAAUCCACAUUAGUUAAUCUGUUAAUGUUUUUUUCUACAUAUGUUACGUUAAGAUAGUUUAGAAAUUUUUAAAAAAAUUAGAAUUUUUUGUAGUUUUUAUAGGAAUUGCGAAUCGUUAUUUUGGAAUACUUUUAAUCAGUUUAGGUAGCUUGACAAGUUUUUAAUCAGAUUUUUGAUUUUUUUUUUUGUAUAUUUUAAAUAUGUUUUUGUCAAUUUCAUUAAUUUUAUUUCCAGAUUUAAGUACGAUUUUUAGACAAUGGUUAUAAUUUGAUUUGAAUCAAACACAUACGAAAUCGAAUCAAACCCGAUCCAAAAACUAGUAAAAUAUGAAUAAGACCAUUGUGCAUGAUACCGAAAAUCCAAAACAAACCCCUAACAAGACACCAAACGUCCGGGCCUGUUAAAAACUAACCUCUCGGUACAGAGCUGCACCGAUACCACCUGCGUGCUGGUGAGCUACUCCAUAGACAAUAUACCCGUUAAACGGCAUCAUUAAGCUCUUUUUCUUAACAUCGACACACCCAUCACCCUUAGUUUUGCACGGUUUCACGUCAUAUUCCACCUGAAAAGAAAACAAUUAAUACACCUUAGCUAACGUUAAAAGCAUUAAUAAGCAGAGAUGUGAAAAGUCUUUACUGACAUGACAAAAAUGUUCUUGGUUAUCUCCUGUUGAUCCUUCUGACCGUUCCCAAGAAUCCGUUACAUCGAGAAUAUAAACCUUAGCCGGCAACAAAACCGAGCUGUCCCAAUCAACCCAUCUCACAGUAUACUUAAGAUACACAGUUCUUGUUUUGUUUCCACUGUCGAAUCCGUUUCUUAACCGACAUUGAGUCUUAUCGUAGCAGCAGUCUUGACCUCCUUUGUAUCCAGGUUCUAAAGCUCGACCGUACUCAUCAACCGUUACAUUAUAAAGACCACACCGACACUCGGUGCAUCCUUGUUUAUCCACAACCCCUCUAGUGUCAAUAGCGUGAAUAUUUAGAAGCCAUUUGAACUCAUACCCAUCAGGUACUUUCUCCGGGUUACCGAUCUCGAUCGCGUAAGGAUCAGGAACAUACGUCGAAGUCUUGCGUGUUUCUGAUCCUAACCCAAAGUAUUGUCUAACUCUGUUCCUACACAACCCUCCGUUACUAACGAGAAUAUAAUCAGGGCUCGAACCAAGGUUCCUAGGCGUGUCUAGGUGCGAAAGGUUGAGACCUUUACGCACGUAGUAAGGGUGCACAACCCAGUGGUGGAGAUAUGUCUCGUGUAACGGGACGGGGUUACCGUCUUGGUCGACUACUUCGGCGUCGAAACCUUUGAGGCCGAUGUGGCCUCUAGGGAAAUCGAUGUCGAACAGGUAAGGGUCUGCGACUGAUCCUGGAGUCAUGACUUGUUUUGGUGAUAGGAAACUUGCGGACUUGAUGUUAAUGCUGUGGCUAGGCGAUAUGCUUAACGCGACCAGAAGAAGAAGUAAGGACGAGAUGAUCAG